AAAAGUAACAAAGGGUGUUUAGUGGAUGCCUUGGCAAUCAGAGGCGAUGAAGGACGUGAAAGACUGCGAUAAGUUCCGGCGAGCCGUCAAUAUGCUUUGACCCGGAAAUGUCCGAAUGGGGAAACCCACUGCUUUAUGCAGUAUCAUGCACUGAAUACAUAGGUGUAUGAAGCGAACGCGGAGAAGUGAAACAUCUCAGUAUCCGCAGGAAAAGAAAUCAACCGAGAUUCCCAAAGUAGUGGCGAGCGAAAUGGGACCAGCCCAGUGGCUGAGUUAUUAGUUAGCAAAACGGUAUGGAAAGGCCGGCAAUAAUGGGUGAUAGCCCCGUAUGCGAAAACUAGUGAUUUGGUCCAAGAGUAGAGCGGUACACGUGAAAUUCCGUUCGAAUAUGGGGGGACCUUCCUCCAAGGCUAAAUACUCCUGAUUGACCGAUAGUGAACAAGUACCGUGAGGGAAAGGUGAAAAGAACCGCGAAGGCGGAGUGAAAUAGAACUGAAACUGAACACUUACAAGCUGUCAGAGCGGGUUUUCCCGUGAUGGCGUACCUUUUGUAUAAUGAGCCAACGAGUUACGAUUGCAUGCAAGCCUAAGCCGUUAGGUGUAAGCGAAGGGAAACCGAGUCUGAAUAGGGCGAAUUAGUAUGCAGUCGUAGACCCGAAGCGGGGUGAUCUAGGUAUGGGCAGGCUGAAGGUGGCGUAACAGUCACUGGAGGGCCGAACGCACCAAUAUGGCAACAUUGGGCGAUGACCUGUGUCUAGGGGUGAAAAGCCAAUCGAACCCCGUUAUAGCUGGUUCUCCGCGAAAACUAUUGAGGUAGUGUCUCAUAUGUUCGUCAUUGGGGGUAAAGCACUGAAAUGGCUAGGGGGAGUAAAAUCUUACCAAACCAUAUCAAACUCUGAAUACCAAUGAAUAAAUAGUAUGGGAAACAGUCUGUCGGUGCUAAGGUCGGCAGACGAGAGGGCAACAGCCCAGACCGCCAUCUAAGGUCCCAAAGUGAUAAUUAAGUGGGAAAGUGAGUCGAGAUUCCAAAACAACCAGGAUGUUGGCUUGGAAGCAGCCAUCGUUUAAAGAAAGCGUAAUAGCUCACUGGUCUAGUUAAGAAUUUCGGCAACCAAAAUGUAACGGGGCUAAAAUUAUCCACCGAAGAUGCGGGUGUCACGUAAGUGGCGCGGUAGCGGAGCAUUGUGUAAGUCUGUGAAGCCGAAGGCGCGAGCCACGGUGGAGAUAUCACAAGCGCGAAUGUUGGCAUGAGUAGCAGCUAAUCAAGGUGAGAAACCUUGACGCCGUAAGAGCAAGGGUUCCUGUCCAAUGUUAAUCAGGGCAGGGUGAGUCGACCCCUAAGGCGAGGCCGAAAGGCGUAGUCGAUGGGAAACAGGUUAAUAUUCCUGUACUCGGUGUUACUGCGAAGGGGGGACGGAGAAGGCUAUGUUAGCCGGGCGACGGUUGUCCCGGUUUAAGCAUGUAGGCGGAACGAUUAGGUAAAUCCGGUCGUUUAUUAACGCUGAGGUGUGAUGACGAGGCACUACGGUGCUGAAGUAACAAAUGCCCUGCUUCCAGGAAAAGCCUCUAAGCAUCAGGUAACAUCAAAUCGUACCCCAAACCGACACAGGUGGUCAGGUAGAGAAUACCAAGGCGCUUGAGAGAACUCGGGUGAAGGAACUAGGCAAAAUGGUGCCGUAACUUCGGGAGAAGGCACGCUGAUAUGUAGGUGAAGCCCCUGCGGGUGGAGCUGAAAUCAGUCGAAGAUACCAGCUGGCUGCAACUGUUUAUUAAAAACACAGCACUGUGCAAACACGAAAGUGGACGUAUACGGUGUGACGCCUGCCCGGUGCCGGAAGGUUAAUUGAUGGGGUUAGCGGCAACGCGAAGCUCUUGAUCGAAGCCCCGGUAAACGGCGGCCGUAACUAUAACGGUCCUAAGGUAGCGAAAUUCCUUGUCGGGUAAGUUCCGACCUGCACGAAUGGAUGAUGGCCAGGCUGUCUCCACCCGAGACUCAGUGAAAUUGAACUCGCUGUGAAGAUGCAGUGUACCCGCGGCAAGACGGAAAGACCCCGUGAACCUUUACUAUAGCUUGACACUGAACACUGGUCCUUGAUGUGUAGGAUAGGUGGGAGGCUUUGAAGCGUGGACGCCAGUCUGCGUGGAGCCGCCCUUGAAAUACCACCCUUUAAUGGCUGGUGUUCUAACGUAGACCCGUAAUCCGGGUUGCGGACAGUGUCUGGUGGGUAGUUUGACUGGGGCGGUCUCCUCCCAAAGAGUAACGGAGGAGCACGAAGGUUAGCUAAUCCUGGUCGGACAUCAGGAGGUUAGUGCAAUGGCAUAAGCUAGCUUGACUGCGAGAGUGACGGCUCGAGCAGGUGCGAAAGCAGGUCAUAGUGAUCCGGUGGUUCUGAAUGGAAGGGCCAUCGCUCAACGGAUAAAAGGUACUCCGGGGAUAACAGGCUGAUACCGCCCAAGAGUUCAUAUCGACGGCGGUGUUUGGCACCUCGAUGUCGGCUCAUCACAUCCUGGGGCUGAAGUAGGUCCCAAGGGUAUGGCUGUUCGCCAUUUAAAGUGGUACGCGAGCUGGGUUUAGAACGUCGUGAGACAGUUCGGUCCCUAUCUGCCGUGGGCGCUGGAGAAUUGAGGGGGGCUGCUCCUAGUACGAGAGGACCGGAGUGGACGCAUCACUGGUGUUCGGGUUGUCAUGCCAAUGGCAUUGCCCGGUAGCUAAAUGCGGAAAAGAUAAGUGCUGAAAGCAUCUAAGCACGAAACUUGCCCCGAGAUGAGUUCUCCCUGACCCUUUAAGGGUCCUGAAGGAACGUUGAAGACUACGACGUUGAUAGGUCGGGUGUGUAAGCGCAGCGAUGCGUUGAGCUAACCGAUACUAAUGAACCGUGAGGCUUAACCUU
This 2891-nucleotide ribosomal RNA is filed under the name termite gut metagenome. RNAcentral describes it as "bacterial LSU rRNA". It matches the Rfam family "Bacterial large subunit ribosomal RNA". The record is from RNAcentral.